GUCUGUGUUCAGGGAUGUCUUUCCAGGCUAGCUCUGCUGCCUGAGUUCUUGGCUGACUCCCUGACCUGGUUGUC
Non-coding RNA from Eptesicus fuscus (big brown bat), 74 nucleotides. The record is from RefSeq and is marked provisional. Lineage: Eukaryota; Metazoa; Chordata; Mammalia; Chiroptera; Vespertilionidae.